UUUUGCUAUGAAGCCGCAGCCAUCUAGUCACUCGCCAGAGAAGGAUGAGAAACUGCACCCCAGCGAGAGGGACAGCCCCACAUCUGCAACCAAAUCCAUCGGUCACCGAAUUCAGUAAUCUCCGUCUCUUUGUGCAUUGUGUAUGUACGGUACUCCCAAUUCUUAUAUUUAAUCCGGUGUGUCUCCCACAAUCUUUGUGUCUGUCUGCACGCACUGUGUCUGUUAUGCCAGUUACUCUAACUAGUUUAUUUCUUUUUGUGUGUGUCACAGCUCUGACAAGCAUGUUCUUCUAUGGGACACGAAGUACAUGAAGAGGAAUGAAGAAGCCCAUGUCUGAUGCUCGUCUCCAGGGUGGAGUAUUGAAUUUAUAACUAAUGAAGUGGCAUCUGACACAUGACGAGCUGCUCCUGUUUGCACAGCAACUUCAACAUUGUGUACUGUGAUCACGGCAUAGUUCAGAGGUAGGUAACCUUGGGCAGUCCAGAUGCUGUGAAUAACAUCGACCAUAAUGCUGGCAAACCAUUAUGGGAGGUGUAGUCCAAAACAUCUGGAAUACCGAAUGCGUAUGAAUGCAAAGUAUGGUGUGUGUGAAUGGUCAGUAACAAGGGUUGAAGCCUUGACGUGGCGUUACUGCUCACAUGUGUAUUCAUGUGCCAAUUCAACCAAUGUUAGUCACUGUAAUACUUAUAAGGUAACCAAAAGUACUGUGAUUGUGGAGAAUGAAACUCCUUAUCCUAUGAAAUCUCCUAUACACUGCUGACACUGUGACCGUAUCUCCUAAACACUGCUCAUACUGUGACCGUAUCUCCUAAACACUGCUCACACUUUGACCCUAUCGCCUAUACACUGCUUACACUCUGACCCUAUCGCCUAAACACUGCUUACACUGUAAGCACAGACAUGCUUUUAAUCAAAAUUGAAAGCGCUAGAUCAUUCCUUCUGUUCUACGCCUCCAAUCUUCAACAUUGAAAUUGUCAUUUCUAAUAAUAUAAAAUAAGUAAUAUGCUUUCUGGUUACGAUUUGGUGGGUUGUAAAUAUUUUUUUUAUUCCUACAGUUCCAGAGGGAAGGAGCAAACCGCUUUGAGGAGUCCCUGCAUAAGAGACUAUUGGAUACUGAAGGGCUGUACUGCAGUGUCGGCUCUAGACUUGGCGAGGCCUUAGGCGAAACUCAUACAUGAGACCCCACGGAGAACACCAUUAUUGAAGAAAAA
Non-coding RNA from Pelobates cultripes (western spadefoot toad), 1211 nucleotides. The record is from the annotation of a GenBank genome assembly. Lineage: Eukaryota; Metazoa; Chordata; Amphibia; Anura; Pelobatidae.